RNAcentral lists this ribosomal RNA (581 nucleotides) under Curtobacterium sp. Ri3Pt_4245. RNAcentral describes it as "bacterial SSU rRNA". It matches the Rfam family "Bacterial small subunit ribosomal RNA", at positions 426 to 1008 of the family's 1533-position model. Lineage: Bacteria; Bacillati; Actinomycetota; Actinomycetes; Micrococcales; Microbacteriaceae. The record is from RNAcentral.
AAACCUCCUUUUAGUAGGGAAGAAGGGAGCUAUGCUACUUGACGGUACCUGCAGAAAAAGCACCGGCUAACUACGUGCCAGCAGCCGCGGUAAUACGUAGGGUGCAAGCGUUGUCCGGAAUUAUUGGGCGUAAAGAGCUCGUAGGCGGUUUGUCGCGUCUGCUGUGAAAUCCCGAGGCUCAACCUCGGGCUUGCAGUGGGUACGGGCAGACUAGAGUGCGGUAGGGGAGAUUGGAAUUCCUGGUGUAGCGGUGGAAUGCGCAGAUAUCAGGAGGAACACCGAUGGCGAAGGCAGAUCUCUGGGCCGUAACUGACGCUGAGGAGCGAAAGCGUGGGGAGCGAACAGGAUUAGAUACCCUGGUAGUCCACGCCGUAAACGUUGGGCGCUAGAUGUAGGGACCUUUCCACGGUUUCUGUGUCGUAGCUAACGCAUUAAGCGCCCCGCCUGGGGAGUACGGCCGCAAGGCUAAAACUCAAAGGAAUUGACGGGGGCCCGCACAAGCGGCGGAGCAUGCGGAUUAAUUCGAUGCAACGCGAAGAACCUUACCAAGGCUUGACAUACACCGGAAACGGCCAGAGAUG